RNAcentral lists this ribosomal RNA (433 nucleotides) under uncultured bacterium. RNAcentral's name for it is "partial 16S ribosomal RNA". It matches the Rfam family "Bacterial small subunit ribosomal RNA", at positions 29 to 507 of the family's 1533-position model. The record is from RNAcentral.
AACGAACGCUGGCGGCAUGCCUAACACAUGCAAGUCGAACGAGACCUUCGGGUCUAGUGGCGCACGGGUGCGUAACGCGUGGGAACCUGCCCUUAGGUUCGGAAUAACUCCCCGAAAGGGGUGCUAAUACCGGAUAAUGUCUUCGGACCAAAGAUUUAUCGCCUUUGGAGGGGCCCGCGUUGGAUUAGCUAGUUGGUAGGGUAAAAGCCUACCAAGGCGACGAUCCAUAGCUGGUUUGAGAGGAUGAUCAGCCACACUGGGACUGAGACACGGCCCAGACUCCUACGGGAGGCAGCAGUGGGGGAUAUUGGAAAAUGGGCGAAAGCCUGAUCCAGCAAUGCCGCGUGAGUGAUGAAGGUCUUAGGGUUGUAAAGCUCUUUUACCCGGGAUGAUAAUGACAGUACCGGGAGAAUAAGCUCCGGCUAACUCCGUG